CAGCCUCCCUUUUGCUUGUUGAGAAGGUGAAGAAGGGAUAAGAAAUUGGCGUUUCACAUUAUCUGGUGUGCAGUUACUUAAAGGAUAAAAUGCAUAUACUCUUAUUUUUUUUUUAACUAAAUAGUAGAAUGAAAAUGUACCUCACAUAAUCUUCUUCGUUGUCUAUUCUUUAUUGUCCUUGUCCUUUUAUUUAUUUAUUUUAUAUCAUGACAAAUAGAGUUAUUUUAUGAGACCAACAGUGGAGCUGUAUAGUAUCGUUAUGUUAUGAAGUACUACUGCAGUAUAUAGUGCUUAUGCUGGGUAGCAGUUUCCGCAGGAAUAUCUCUUGGCUUCCAAAUGGUUCUUCCCCUAGCAAUUUCGGAUCCAUUCUCCAGGAGGAGCAAGUGUUCCAACUCAAUCACAUUAUUAUUAUUAUUACUAUUGUGACUGACGCCAUGUUUAACAAUUUUGGCCAGAGACUGCAGUACGCAAUCUGCCGUGCACUCUUUCCGGUACUCCAAAGUUAUGGCCGAAAGCUUGUGAUGUUCUACAAAAUAGCGGGGAACAGUCUGAAAGGAAGAAAUGAACGGAAACUUGUGAUUUAAUUGUGAUAAAAUUUUACAAGCAACUAGAAAGUUUUAGCAUGUUUGUUAUGUCGACAGAAAUGGGAAAGGUCUCCAACUUGAGUAAGCGCAUGUUGCAAAGGAAAGGCAACGCAAAGUGAUAUAGCAGAAGUAUACACCUUGAACAGUAACAGCAUUAAUUUUCUCAAACUGGGGAAGGUUUCAAGUUCAAGCCUUCGGAUAAACCAAAAAAGAAAAGAAAAGAAAAGAAAAUUACCCACCUCAAGAAUCCAGUUAAUGUACUGAACAUGGUUCACAUGCUGAUUGAGAUCAAGCUGAUCCCAUUCAGGCUGUAGUAGAAAGCAAAUUCAGACAAUCAAUUAAACAAGGCAAGCAUUGAAAGAAAAAACACAUGCAAAAGCAUUUAUUAAAGGACGGAGAAACAUCAUACAGAUGACUUACUUUUUCACCUUUACGAACAUAAUCUGCUGUAUCAACAUCGAGUCUCAGCAACUUUCUGCUAUCCUUAACAAUGACAGGGUCACAAUUCCUUAUAUGAGGAGUGAACUCUUCUCUGAUUUCUUCUUUAAGCUUGGAUAACUUCCUUGUUUUCUUAUUCAUUAACACACAUACACUGCACAUUUAAAUUUUUUAAAGAAAGGGAAGCAAAGUUAACUAAACAAUGACUAAAGAAAAAAUUCUUUCUACUGAUAAUCAAGAAAAGAAAUUCAAACCUGGUUGCUCGAGCCAAAGUAUUCCCUGUCUUGCCAUCACGAACAAUCCAGUCUCGACGUAUGCUAUUUUGUCCUGAUGGAUAAAACCAUGUGUCUACUUCUACAACAUCAAGCCUUGCAGUCAAUAAACAGUAUUAAUGGAUGGUUACAAAUUAAUUAUGAGAUGGAAGAUAAAAAAUUAAGCAAGCUGCAGAAUUGGGAAUUACCAGGAAGGAUAGCUAUCCACCACUAUCUGCAAAGCGCAGACUACCCAUAUCAAGUCCUGUCUACUCAUUUCAGGUGUUGAACCAAAAUCAUCAGCCCAUAUACCUAUAACUCUACACUGUUCAAGUGCUGUGUCCUAAACACCGAAACAAAUAUCAAAGACUAAUCAUAGAAUUUAUGCAGAGGAAAAUGAAGUUCAAGUUUAACCUGUAAAUAAUUGGUCAAGGCAGCCAAGGAUAGUUUUCUGUCAAAGCCUAUUUCAAAUGAUCUAACCGAAAAGUUUUGCCUGUAAACGAGGCCAUCUUGCACCAAGCUUCCACUUCCACCACUAAUAACAGCUUGGGAAAUAAUCUUCCUUCUUGAUGAUGGUGAAGCCAUACGCAUCUCGUACUUGACAGUUUUCUUCAUUUUGUUGAUGAUUUCAUUUUGCAAGGCUUCGACUUGGAAGUGCUUGUUAACUAGCAAGAAUCCGAUUGUAGCAGUAGCCAUUUUCUUUUUUCUGUUGAGCUUCGACUAAUUUGAGGUGAUAUUUAUAGAGAGGGUUUCCACCGGAUUUAUAUGAAUCUAUGCGGUAAAUAUAUGAGAUUUUAUGUGUACUGUUACUUGUGCAUGUGAUUACUGUGUAAUUUUUUCUAUUUAUGAACAGUGUGCUUAAUUUUUUUUUAUUCAUCUAAUUAAAUAAAAAUUUAAUAAAUUUAUUAAAUAUAAUUUUGAUUAAAUUAUAAUUAAUUUAGUAUAAUUAUGUUAAAUUUAAAAUUAUUAAAUUUUAUAUUCUUUUUUUCCUAAACGUAGAGGUUGAUGGUCUCUUAAAUGUUAUAUUGAUCAACCUCUUCCUUCCACUUUAUAAUUAUGGCCACAAACCUUAGCACCACGUAAGGCUAUAAAAUUAGACGUCGGAAAGCUGUACAAGUCUAAACUUUAAUUUUUACCAAACUUCCCCAUUUAAAUAAUUUUUUUUAUUAAAUCUAAUUAUUAUUCUUAAAAGACAUCAAAAAUCUAUUGAAAGAUUUAAAGGAAAAGAUAAUAUAGAAAAGAAAUUUUGAGAGAGUCUCACCGUUUUGUCUAGAGGCAAAAAGCUUCCUAAUUCCUACGAAAUAACUUACACAAAAGUAAGGAAGUAACUUCUUUAAAUUCAUAAAAAGUUUGUGAGAAAAUAUCAAUCAAACAAAUUGAAUAUAUCAAUUUUCUAUAAAUUAGAAUAUUUUUUAGUUAAUUUAACCCCAAUUAAAUUUGAAGUUUUUGAUUUAACUUAACCCAAUCAAAUAAGGAUUAAAUUUAAUAUUUAUAAAUAUUUGAUGCAGAGCAAUUAACCUUGAAUCAAGUUUAAUUUCUGCUGUUGAUAUCCAUUGGAAGCGAACAAUAACUUUUUGAAAAGAGAAUUUCGAAAUGUACGACUUUAAAAGUGUGACAAAGGCCAUAUGCCUGUUAUAAAGUUCAAGACCUAAAUUUCAUCAUUUAAGUAGUUAAUUUUGUAUUUUAAUUAGUUUUUUAGAUUUUUUCAAUAUUUUUUCUAUUAGGGUUUUUACUAUUAUAAAUAGUUCUUUUCUUGACCGUUGGAAACAUUUUUCAAUUUUCGUGAAUUUAAUAAAAAAUUUCAGCUUUCGGCCUUUCGUUUUUUUAAUUUUAUCUUUACCAAACAUUAUUUGUUAAAACUCUUGAUUGAGCCUAAAUAGUUCUAUUUCAGUUGGUAUUAGAGCGAAGUACAUCUAUGGCCAACAAUCAAGAGGCGCGACUCGCUGUAAUUGAGGCAUCCUUGGUAGAAUUGAGGGAGAUGAUCGGACAGUUAGCCCUACAACAGGGUAACAACCAACCCGCUGCAGUCGAAUACCCACCGCCAGUUUUAAAUCCUGUGGUUGCAAAUUAUGUGGUUACAAAUCCCCAAAAGGAUCAUCACAAAGUUUACAAGAUAAAGAUAGACUUUCAGAACUUUUCUGGCUCGUUGGAUGUAGAAUCUGUCAUUGAUUGGUUAGCAGUUAUUGAUCGAUUUUUUAAAAUUAUGAACGUGGAAAAGGAUCGAAAGAUUUUGAUUGUGACUCAUAAAUUAAAGGGUGGUGCAGUAGCAUGGUGAAAUUCUGUUCAAAACAAAUGCUAUCACAUGAGACUGAAACCUAUAUGAAACUGGCUGUUGAUGAAGCAGAUGAUUGAAUAGCGAUUCUUGCCUAGUGAUCACGCCCAAGUUUUGUAUAAUUGGUAUCAUGACUGUAUUCAAGGGAAUCGAAGGAUGGAUGAAUAUACAAAGGAUUUUUUGAGGUUGCAGGCGAGGUGUGAAAUUAUGAAAAUGAAACCCAGCAGGUUGCUCAUUAUCAGAGAGGACUGAAUCACGAAAUUUAUUAUAUGAUGGGAGUAGCUGUGAUUUUCACUUUGGCAGAUGUCAUUGAGAUGGCGAAAAGAGCAUAAGAACGUAUUGAAUGGUAGCCUCGAUAUCAGUCUAAUCGAAAUUUUAAUUACAAAAAUUCUGGUUCGAUAGGAACUCAGCAGCAUAGAGAUAAUUACAGCGGACAACCUUCUAAGGCUAUAAAUUCUGGCAAUCAUCAUAAUACUUUGGAAGAAAGGAGAGAUAAUAAGAAACAAGUAGUCGUCAAUACAACAAACAAAAUAGGCAAAACCAAUCCUUAUCAGAAACCAAUCGAAGACAUAUGUUAUUAUUACAGGCAACCUAGACAUCAAUCGAAUAAUUGUUCAAAACGCAGGGGAGUUAAUAACGUUUGUUGAUAGGUUAAUGUGGUUGAAUCUAAGGAGGAAGUGGAUGAAGAUUAUGGGUCUAUUGUUGGUUCUGAAGAUGGGGAUGUCACCUAUGUGGUGAAGAAAAUCUUAUGCUCCACGAAAUAGGAGGAUGAGAUGCAAAGGAGGAAGAUUUUCGAGGUGAAGUGUCGAGUGGGAGAAGCGAUUUGCAGAUUAAUUAUAGAUAAUUGCAGUUGUGAGAAUCUGAUAGCUAAGCAAUUUGUGGAGAAAGUGUAGUUGCCUACAGAGCCUCACCCUUAUUCAUACAAAGUUGGGUAGAUUAAGAAAGGUCCGACAAUUGAAGUCAACAGAAUCUAUAGCGUGCCUAUUUCGAUCGAUAAAUCUUACACUGAAUCUAUUAAUUGUAAUGUUGUGGAUAUGGAUUGCUGUAGAAUUUUGUUAGGUCGUCCUUGGCAGUUUAAUGUUGAUGUUUUGCAUAAGGGGAAGGAGAAUUCAUACAUGUUUACUUGGAAUCAGAAGAAAAUUAUGAUUUUGCCUUCUAAUUCUACGAAACAUUCUAAAGUGGAAGGGAAAACUAUUGCUAUUGUUUUUGUGGGAGUGCAAAGGAUUUCAUACAUAGUUGAGAAGUUUGGAGGCACACUGGCUUUAUUGGUGAGAACAAAAAGAGAAGCGGAGGAUACACCAUCUUUACUACCACCCGUCAAAGAGUUAUUGAAGGAGUUUCCUAAGGUAGUGGAGUAACCUUCAAAGCUUUCACUUUUGCAGGAUAUUCAACAUCGGAUUAAUAUUAUUCCUGGAUCCAAAUUACUGAAUCUGUCUCAUUACAAGAUGAGGCUAAAAGAGAGCGAAAUUCUUCAAGAAUAGGUUGAAGAGUUAUUAAAGAAGGGACACAUUUGGAGAGCAUUAGCCCUUGCAAAGUCCCUGCCUUAUUGGUUCCAAAGAAUGAUGGGAUAUGGAGAGUGUGCAUGGAUAGCAAAUUCAUCAAUAAGAUUAUGGUUCAGUAUCAAUUUCCUAUUCCUCGACUGGAUAACAUGCUGGAUUAGUUAUCAGGGUCUAAAGUCUUCUCUAAGAUCAGUCUUAAAAGUGGCUACCACAAAGUUCGGAUUAAGGAGAGAGAUGAAUGUAAGACAAUCUUUAAAACUAAGAAAGGCUUGUACGAGUGACUAGUUAUGCCGUUUGAUUUGACGAAUGCACCUAGCACGUUCAUGCGACUUAUGAACUAAGUUUUGCAUUCUUUCUUACGCAAAUUUGUGGUUGUUUAUUUUGAUGAUAUUUUGAUUUUUAGUCGCAGUGAAGAAGAAUAUUUAUAGCACCUUCGUCAAGUCAUGACAGCCUUGUAAGAAAGUGAGCUGGUUAUUAAUUUUAAAAAAUACAUCUACAUAAUGAAGCACAUUCUGUUUCUUGGAUUUAUUAUUAGUGCAGAAGGGAUAUAUGUUGAUGAGAAGAAGGUAGAAGCGAUAUAGAACUACCUCAUUCCUAAAAAUAUUUCAGAAGUUCGCAGCUUUCAUGGACUUGCUACUUUCUAUCAGCGGUUUAUCAGAAAUUUCAGCAGCAUCGUUGCCCCUAUCACAGAUUGUUUGAAGAAAGAGAAAGUGCAUAAAUUUAUUUGGACUGACACUGCCAACAAAAGUUUUGAGGAGAUUAAAGAUAAAUUUACUUCUGCCUCUAUUCUUGCUUUACCUGAUUUUGAUAAAAUGUUUAAGACUGAAUGUGAUAUUUGUGGAUUUGGGAUUGGUGGUACAUUAUCACAGUCUAAUAGGCCUAUUGCCUUCUUUAGUGAGAAAUUGAAUUGAUGGAGGGAUUUCACGUUGAAAGGGGUUUUAACAAUUUCAUUAAGGGCAUUUUUGGUAAAAAAUCUCACCUCUCACUUUUGACUCUUUGACAAAACGGCUACUUUUGACGGAAGGACUACGAAUUUGGAUGGAAGAGAAAGUGAGGGACUUAAGUGUUGGGUUGUCAAAAUAGAGGGACAUAAGUGUUAAUUAUAUUAAACUUCAGGGAUUAAAAAGUAAUUUUUCCUUUAUUUAAUUCUAAUUGUAUCUAUUUUAAAGAUAUUAAAUUUUAUUAAAUAGUAAGAGAUGUUAUUUCUUAAAAAUAAGAUAAAAUUAAAUAGGAUUAUAAUAGUUAAUUUAUAUAUUAUUAUAUUUUAAAAAGAAAAAGUGAACAAUAAUUUUGGAAUAUCUAUAAAAGAAAAGGUGGAUAAAAAUUAUGAGUAGGAUGGAGUAUUUUAUAUCAACAUAAUUUCUUAUAAUAAAUAUUAAGUGCAAACAAAUAUUAAAUGAAUGGGCGAGUAAAAUAUUUACAUUGAUAUUACAUGACAACCACUCAAAAUAAGUCAUAAGUUGUUAUUAUGAGAUAGAAUCGCGUGGUAAGCAUCGGAUACGUAGGAAACGCGGUCCUUCCCGAGAAAGGAAGAUCUGGAUACCAUAACACCCGAAUCAUUGUUAAGACUCGUCCUUUCCAUAGAAAGGAGAGUUUCUGCGCCAAGUUACCGUUAAUAAGUAUAAUCUAGCGUAUCUCUAUUACGCCUGUAAUCACGAGAUCACCAACUUAUUAGCUGGUAACAUCUCUUAUCAAGCAGCUGGCCACAUCAUUAUCGGAUUAUCGAAAAAUAUUAUACUUAUCUCUACCUUCUUAAAGUAUAAAAGAAGAAGAAUCACAGAGAUAAAGAUACGCUAUUUUCAUUCAAUGUCCGAGAAUCGAACCUCAUCGAAAUGAGGAAAAGGUUCGGUCCUUAAUGAAGAAGGUCAGAGGCGGGCAAGGCAGCUGUGAACUUCGCUAGGUAGCCAAAGGCAACAAUGAAGAAGCGGACCUCUUAGCCAAAAUGGCAGCGGCAAGUGAACAGUACUUGACUUAACCAUUCUAGUUCGAGGAAUUGUACACUCCAAUAAUGGAAGUGGAAGAAUCUUUCUCCCUAGAAGAGGGGGAAUCAUGGAUGACGCCCAUAUACAAAUUUUUUACACAAGAUGAUCUUCCAGACGAUGAGUUAUCAGCUAAAAAAGUAAUAAAAAAGUCUUCUAAAUUCACGCUAAUUAAUGAUUGAUCGUACAAGAGGUCCUCUACAUAGCCAUGGUUGUGAUGUGUUAUAGAGGAGGAAGGUUAGAAAAUCCUAAAAGAUAUCUAUGAAGGUAAUUACAGGAGCUAUGAAGGAACUCGAACAAUCACCCAGAAAGCAUUCAAACGAGGGUACUACUGGCUAAUGAUAAUGCAAGAUGCGAAGCAACUUGUCCAAAAGUGUCGGAGAUGCCAAGUACAUGCAAAUAUCCCAAAGACCUCGAGAGAAAUGCAAGUGGCCAUUGAAAGCCCCUGGCCUUUCUUUCAGUAGGGGAUAGACAUCCUUGGCCCUUUCCCCAAGGUGUCUAGGUCAAGGAAGUUUGUUAUCAUGGUAGUAGAUUACUUCAACAAAUGAACGGAAGCUGAGGCAGUACAGUCCAUCACUACCCAACAAGCAAUCUCUUUCGUUAGUAAAAACAUAUUCAUCUGAUUCGAAAUAUCAAAAAUAGUAAUCACCGAUAAUAAAACUUAAUUUGCAAGUACUAGGUUUAGAGACUUUUGCAAAAAAUGAAAAAUCGACUUGAGGUUCAGCUCAGUCUAUCAUCCCUAGUUCAAUGGUAUGACUGAGGUCACAAAUAGGACCAUCUUACAAGGGUUAAAGAAAAGACUCGACCAAGCCAAAGCCAACUGGCCCGAGGAGUUACCUCACAUACUUUGGUCAUAUAGGACUACUCCCAAAAUAGCUACAGGGGAACACCCUUUUCCUUUGUAUAUAGGGUCGAAGCAGUCAUCCCCGUGGAAAUAUAAAUAAGCAGCUUCAGAUCACAACACCCUGAAAUUUCAGGAUACCCUAAAGAGAUGCAAUUCAAUCUGGACGAAGCCAAAUUCAUACGAAAAAAGGUCACAAUCAGAAUGGUGGUUUACAGAAAUAAAAUGUCCAAAAUGUUCAACAGAAAGGUCAGGCCACAAGCCUUUAAUGCGGUAGACUUAGUCCUCAAAAGAACAGAUAUGACAAAUAGCAAUGCCAAGCCUGGUAAGCUGACGAGAACUGGAAAGGACCAAACUAGAUGCUCAAGUUAUUCCCCAUGCUUGGAAUACUUGUAAUUUGAGAAAAUUUUAUCAAUAAUGAGUUAAAGAGGUAUUUCUUUCAUAUGUUGUGUAUUCCAGUGACAAGAAACGAUGGAUUGCGUUCCUCGAAAAAAAGAAAGACUAAAUAAACAAGAAAAGGCCACAAUGUAGUUUUUGCCAGACCAUUCGAGUGUUGGUCCCACUGAAUAAUGCCACAAAGCAGUUUUCGUCAAGUCAGGUCACAAGGCGGUUCUCGCCAGACCAUUCGAGCAUUGGUCGCACUAAACAGGGCCGCAAGGCCUACUUCAUUAGGCCACGAGCCAGACGUUGGUCCUUGUAAAUAGGUCAUUUGCACCAGAUAACUACAAGGGGUAUACUAAUCUCUAAGAGACAAAGGGGUUCCAAUCAAAGGAUAAUUUCGAUUAGACGAACCUUAUAACCAAGAAUCAAGAUGAAUAAUGGGUAAAAGACUCUUAUUACAAAAACGCCCAAGGCGUCUUAUGGUGCAAAGGCGGGUAUCCGCCAGACCAUAUGUCCGAAUAUUCAUUCUAUUUUACUGAAGUUCUAUAAGUUAUAUUUACUAAACUGGGUAUUAAAAAAAAUGAAUAUGUUUUUGCUGCCGAAUAAGAUAGGCAAAAAAAGCAAUUUCAUUACAAAAGAUUAUAAAAAGAUAAAAGGGACUUAGGCAAAGUCUCUAUUACAUCAUAAUAUUCUAAAAAUCUAUUAGCAGAAAUUCAUUCUCAUUCUAUGGGAAGACACCGUUUGAAAGGCCGUACAGAGGACUGUCUCUCCAAAUACCUUCAUGGCCUUACCCUCAAAAUCAACCUUACACAAUCCAACCCCUCUCCUUAGGGUUGCAACAUUAAAAAGGUGUUAUAGUUGGGUUGAUUGCAACCCUCAGCAGUAUGCUUGCACCUUUAUGAAGACUUACUUUCAGUUGCUCUUCAUAGACCAUGAUUAUAUUCUUUGCACAGAUAUGGUUAUUCUCAAAAAGAAGAAAGAAAGUGCCCCUUUUUAUAUCCCCGUAAACGAUAGUCGCAAACACAAAAGAGAAACGAGUGUUAUUAUAUAGUGGCAUAGCUAGCAAAAUUUUUAAUAUGGCCUGAAAAAUAAGGCCACCAUCAUGACUAAGGGAAGACAAAACGACACAAAUAAUCAAAUCAUGCCACGUAAUAAAAAAGACAAGUCAUCACUUUCGAAUUUGAAGAAUCGAAAACCAGCGAGAGAACCUCUGAUAUUACAUAAUAACCCCCCAAGGUAAGUCAUAAGAUGUCACUACGAGAUAGGGCCACGUGGCAAAGACUGGAUACGUAGGAAAUAUAGUUCUUCCCUAGGAAGAAACAUCCGGAUACUAUAACAUCUAGAUCAUUAUCAAGACUCACCCUUCCCACAGCAGGGAGAGUCUCGGUGCCAAGUUACCGUUAAUAAGCACAGUCCAGCGCAUCCUUAUUAUGCCUGUAAUCACGGGAUCACCAACUUAUUAGCUUGUGACAUCCCUUAUCAAGUAGCCGACCACAUCAUUACCGGAUUAUCGAAAAAUAUUAUAUUUAUUUCCACCUUUUUUACGGUAUAAAAGGAGAAAGAUUAUAUAGAGACAAAUAUAAAUUAUUCUGUUAUACAAAAAUUUCAAACAAUUCAUUACAUUCGUUCUUUUUUUCAGUAUACUAACUUGAGCGUCAAAUCUCAUAAUCUCUUUUUUAUAGGUUUUAUUUAAUUAGUGUAGCUUUAUUUCAAUCACAUCAUCAAUAUCAUGCAUUAUAACAUUAGAUUUUCUUUUUAUUUUUAAAUAAAGAAAUUUCAUUAAAUAUUUGGGUUGCUUGUACUUUACAUACAAAAUGUUAAUUAGUUUUAAUUUAUUAACACUGAGGGCUCAAAUUCCAAUCAAAUUCCAAUUCAAUUGAAUUAAUUAUAAAAAAAAUAAAAAUUUGAAAGGAACUAUAAAAAAUAUUUACAAUUUAAUUAAACUUAUAAAUUUGAGUUUUUGAAAUUGAGAUAAGGUUGAAGGCGUGAACGGCAAGAUUCGAACUUGCGCGGGCAGAGCCCACAUGAUUUCUAGUCAUGCCCGAUAACCACUCCGGCACGUCCACGGCGAUGCAUUCACUUUCUCCAAGUUUUAUUUCAAGUUACAUAUAUAGCAGUCUCGGACUCCGAGUUGAGGAAUGAGGCAAAUUGUGACAUGAUCGUGAAGAAGGAUUCUUUCUUGUUGUUUGGAAUUGUUAUCACAAAUAAAUGAAUUUAAAGGAAAAAAAACUUAACAUAAUUGAGAAGACAUUUUGGAUUCUGUUGGAAGGUUCAUUAAGUGCAAGUCAAAACUUAACUCUAGCCUUUAAAGGAUAAUUUUGGGUUACUGAACUUUACUUAUUAUUUAAUGUAAUUAUUGAAUUUCCAUUUAUUUUUAAAAAGUCAUCAACGUUUUUAUAUUUCUUUUAUAAAUAAUCACUCAAACGAAAAGUCGAAAAACUUUUUUAGUGAACCGGAUAUGUGGUUUAUUCUACCUACGUUAAAAUAAUAAUAAUAAAAAAAUUUUUUUUUAACAUUUAACUCGGUUCUUCCAAUUCGAGGAGUUGCACACUUCGACGACAGAGAUAGAAUAAUCUUUUUCUAUAGAAGAAAGAGAGUUAUGGAUGGUACUUGUAUAUAAAUUAUGACCUUCCGGCUAAUGAGUUAUUAGCUAAACAGAUAAUAAAAAAGUCUUCUAAGUAUGCACUAAUUAAUAGUUGGUUAUACAGUAGGUCCUCCACAUAGCCAUGGUUGUGAUAUAUGAUAGAGGAAAAAGGUUAGAAAAUCCUAAAAGACAUCCAUGAGGUUAAUUAUGGAAGUCACGAAGGAGCUCGGACAAGCGUCUGAAAAACAUUCAGACAAUGAUACUACUGACCAAUGAUAAUGCAGGAUGCAAAGCAAUUUAUCCAGAAGUGUCAAAAUAUCUUUACCCGAUUCGGAAUACCCAAAAUCAUGAUUAUUGAUAAUGAAACUCAGUUUGUAAGCAUCAAAUUUAAAGACUUUUGCAAAAAAUGGGAGAUUGAUUUGAGGUUCAGCUCAGCCUACCACCCCCAAUCCAAUGGUAUGAUGGAAGUCAUGAACAGGACUAUAUUAUAGGGGGCUGAAGAAAAGGCUCGAUAAAGCCAAAGGUAAUUGGCCCGAGGAAUUGCCUCACAUACUGUGGGCAUACAGAAUUACUCCCAGACCAGCUACUGGAGAGACACCAUUUUCCUUGGUAUAUAGGGGAGAAGCAGUCAUCCUCGUAGAAAUACAAGUAAGUAACUUCAAAAUACAACAUCCUGAAAUCUCGGGACACCCUAAAAAAACACAAUUCAAUUUGGAUCAAGCCGAGUUCUUGCGAGAAAAGGCCGCAAUGAGAAUAGCAGCUGACAGGAAUAAAAUAUCCAGGAUAUUCAAUAGCAAAAUCAAGCCGAGAGCCUUCAAUGUGGGAGACUUGAUCCUCAAACAAAUAGACGUAACAGGGGGCAAUGUCAGACCCAAAAAGUUAGGAGAAAACUGGAUAGGACCAUUUAAGGUCUCAAAGGUUAUUUGCCCUAGGUCCUAUAAACUGGCCAAGCUAAAUAGUCAAGUUAUUCCUCAUGCAUGGAAUAUUUGUAACUUGAGAAAAUUUUAUCAAUGAUGAGUUGAUGAGGUUAUCUCAUAUGAUGAGAACUUUGGAUUGCCUUCCCCAAAAGAAAGACUAGUUAAACAGAACAUGAAACAGCCCUGCUCAAACUAACCCAAAUAAAUUUUGGAUCCACUUUCCACUUGACGCAAAAUGGUUAACCCAAGUUAUUUAGUAGUUUCGUGCUAACUAUUAUAUACAAUUCGAAAUUGUCGUAAUCCGCUGAUGUGGGACGAUUUCCCACAAGCAGGCAGCUGACCAUUACACUCGGUUCCGCUAAAUUUGCGAUGUCCUCGUCGCAACUGAAUCGAAUACAAUUGCUAAACCAAGACCGGACUCUCAGGUAUUGUGGUUCGCUAGUACCUCGGGCGGCUCCACCUCGUUUCACACGGGUAGCCCUUUCCUCGCAGGUCCACUAGUUUUGCACAAUUUGUCUGAUCCAGGGUGGCUCUGAUACUAAUUGAAACAGUCCGGCCCAAACUGGCCCAAGUAACUUUUGGAUCCACUUUCCACUUGUUAACCCAAGUUAUUUAGUAGUUUCGUGCUAGCUAUUAUAUACAAUUCGAAAUUGUCAUAAUCCACCAAUGUGGGAUAAUUUUCCACAAGCAGGCAGCUGACCGUUAUAGACCACUUGGGUAUUGGUCCUAUUAAUUAAGGCCACAAUGCAAUUCUCGCCAAGUCAGGUCACAGGGCGAUUUUUGCCAGACCACUUAGGCGUUGGUCCUAUUAAUCAAGACCACAAGGCAGUUCUCGCCAAGUCAGGUCACAAAGUGGUUUUUGCCAGACCACUUAGGCGCUGGCCCCACUAGUUAAGGCCAUAAGGCAAUUUUUGUUAGGCCAGGUCACAAGAUGAUUUUUGCCAAGCUACUUAGGUGUUGGUCCCAUUAAUCAAGGCUACAAGGCAAUUCUCGCUAGGCUAGGUCACAGGGUAGUUUAGCCAGAUCAGGUCACAAGGCGGUUUUCACCAGACCACUUGGGUGUUGGUCCCAUUAAUCAAGGCCACAGGGCAGUUCCUGCCAGGCCAAGUCAAAAGGCGAUUUUCGCCAGACCAUUUGGGCAUUGGUCCCACUAAUCAAGGCCAUAAGGCAGUUUUCGUCAAGUUAGGUCACAAGGUAAUUUUCGCCAGAAUACUUGGGCAUUGGUCCCAUUAAUCAAAAUCACAAGGCAGUUUUCACCAGGUCAGGUCACAAGGCGAUUUUCGCCAGGCCACUUAGGCGUUGGUCCCAUUAAUCAAGGCCACAAAGUAGUUCUCGUCAGGCCAGGUCACAAGGUGGUUUUCGCCAAACCACCUGGGCGCUGGUCCUACUAAUCAAGGACACAAGGUAGUUUUCACCAGCUUAGGUCACAAGGUGGUUCUCGCCAGACCACUGGGGCAUUGGUCCCAUUAAUCGAGGCCACAAGGCAGUUUUUACCAGGCCAGCUCACCAGGCAAUUUUCGCUAGACCACUCGUGUGUUGGUCCUAUAUAACAAGGUAUUUGAUGCUAGGCCUAAAGAUAGGUACACACCGUGCCGACCUUCUAGGUGUUAGUCCCGAUUUACGAGAGAAUUCAAAGACAUUUGGUGCCAAAAGCUCAUUAGAGCUAUAAAAGGCCAAAAGCCCAGUAGGGCUGUAUAAGGCCAAAGAGCUCGUAAGGGCUAGAAAAAUGUCCAGAAGCUCACAAAGGCAUUCAAUGCCAGAAAGCUAGUCAAGGCUAGAGAAUUCCCGACAAGACGAGAAAAUACUCGAAAACUCGUCAAGGCACUGGAAGCCAGAAAGCUAGGAGAAAGGUCAUGGGCUAAGAUCAUGGCUAGAAAAAUGCCUAAAAGAUUGUAAAAGCUAGAAAAGCCACGGAGCUCGUAAGUGCUAGAAAAAUUCCCAAAAGCUUACAAAGGCAUUCAAUGCUAGAAAGCUAGUCAAGGCUAAAUAAUGUCCGACGAGAUGAGAAAAUGCUCGAAAGCUUGUCAAGACUGAACAAUGUUCGGAAGCACGUUAAGGCUAGAAAAUGCUCGUAAGAUCGUCAAAGCAUUACUAUAUCACUGGACCAAUUUUUACCAGACAAAGUCUUAGACCUAAUUGGUCGGCAAGGCAAAAAAGAGGAAAACAAGGACAUCGUGCACUCAGCUCAACAAAUAAGCCACAUAACCCAGAUCAUGAAGACAAUUGUCACCUUCAAAUCUAAAGAAUUGACUAGCGGGGGACCUUUGAUGCUAUAUAAGACUUUUUCAAAGUAAACCGUGAGCUAUCACCAUAAAAUAAGGUCACGUGGCAGGGUUCAUAAGCUAAUAAGUUGUCCCACUCAUAAAAAGGAAAAACUCGGACGACCGAUUCUUAAUCAAGACUCGUCUGAGGACAGGUAGGCUUUAGGUCGGACAGGCUCACCUCCACAAGCAAGUUACAGAUAAAUAGCUACAACCUAGCAAGACAAUCACAGGAUUCUCAAUCAAUUAGUCGGUAAAGAUCCUUUACCAAUAGGUUGGCCACAUCAUCGCCGGAUUAUCAGAAAAUAUUAUAUUUAUCUCCACCUUCUUACAGUAUAAAAAGAGAACGAUCACAGAGACAAAGGUACGUAAUUCUUAAACACUGAAACUCUUACAUUCCGUUAUACUUUCUCUCAUUCAGUUAUUGACUUAGCGUCGGAGUAGCUACCGUGGGUAUCCAUCACCACCUCAUGUUAUUUCUUUUGUAGAUCCUAACCAAUCACAGUACAGUUUGAUUCCGACCAUAUCAUCAGUUUAAAUCUUAGCUACAUCAGUUAUUAUUUUAAACCACAUGAGAUAAGUCACAUAUACAUUUUGUCGAAAAAUCUACUGAAAUCUCAUCUGAGUGAUUAUCUCGAACAAAUAUUUAAACUUUAAUUACUUUUUUAAAAUAAAUUAAAGUUUAAUAAUUAUAAUGAAUUAGUAAUUAAAAUUCAAUAAGUGAAAAUUAUCUAACCGUUAAAUCAAUUGUAUUGGAUUAUAUAAUUGAUUUUGGAUUUUGUGCAAAUAAAACCUCCCAUACUGAUAUGUUUUGUGCAUGUUGCGGGCCAUGUAAAAGUAUGAAUAAAUGGGAUAAAAUUAAACGAAUUCUGUUAUUAUUUGAAUAAUAAUAAUUAAAUUUAAAUAAUUCAAAAUAAUUUUUAAUUAAAUCUAAAACGAAUUUAAAUAUUAAUAAUAUAAUAUUCAUCAUGGGAAGGAUGAAAAGAAGCAUGUGGUUUGUAUUUGGAAAUAUUUUCUUAUAUAUUUAAAUUUAAUUUAAUUUUAAAAAUUCUUAAUAUCUAUUUAUUAGAAUAAAGGAUUAGAGAAUGAAAAGCUUAGAAACAUUAUAAAAAUUUGCUUGAAAAAAAAAUAUGUUUAUUUUUUCCCUUUUAUUGUGAUUAUGUUACAAAUUGAUGCUUGAUCAUUCUGAUAAAUUUAUAGAGAGAAUGUUAUUAAUUAUUAUGUCAUAAUUAUAUUUUUUAUUUUUUAUAUUUAUUUUUUAAAAUUUAUGGCAGCUCAUUUCUCAAAAAUUGAAUUAAUUAGUCAGCUCACGAAGCAAAAGUCAACUAAUAAGCUCGAAAAAUUAAUGGCAGAUAAUAAAUAUGUAAAACAACCCAUGUAUUUAUAGGUCUAACUGAUUUUGAUUUUCAAGCAUUCCUAUUAUAGAAAAUUUUCUUCAUUAACAAAUUAUAUUAAUAUAUUUAAAAUAAUAAAUGGCUAAUUUUAUUGAAUAUAAAUAAUAAAUUUCAUCUAAAAAUUUAAAAAUAUAAAUAAUUUGAGAAUAACAUUAAUAAAUUUUUAAAAAUUUAUACAUAUGUAUUUUUUACUGACAUAAUAAUAAAUAAAAUUAUUUUUAACCAAAGUAAAAUUAUUAAUUAAAUAAUAUUAAGUUCGUAUGCAACUAUACAAAUUAAAUAAUUUCUAAUUAUAUAGGACUUUUUGUAUGAUUAUUAAUUUUUUUAAUCAGAUGGAGGAUUAAAGUCCAUCACACUGGCACGUCUUUACCAAACUAUUCCAACUUUAUCAGCAAUGAGCAAAUCACUAAUCCUUAAAAGAGGAUUCACAAACAUCUGUAUAUCAAAAGAAUCUGCAAUAGCAUCCUUAGCCAACUGAUUUGAAACUGAAUUAGCUUCUUUAAAGACCUUCACAAGUUGAACUUCCCAACUACGAUCCAGCAAAUUCAAACAUGCUGUCAAAAUAUUCCUAUGGCGAUGAACGUCACUCCCUCUUUUAAUUACCAUUGAAAUAACAGUUCGGGAAUCACAUUGCAACUGAAUUUUUCGCCAACCAUUCUCCCAUGUGAUUGUCAAGGCUUUGUGCACUCCCCAGAGCUAUGCAUCAACUGCAUAACUUACACCAAUAGCUAAUGAAAAACCAAGCAACUAGUAUCAUACUAGUACAUCCCGAAAACAACCGGCACACGCAGCCAAACCAGGCUGCCCCACAGCACUCCCAUCAGUGUUAGCUGUCACCCAACUCAUCGGAGCUCGAUUCCAUGAAAUAAACUGUUGAGAAGCUCGACGUGGUUCAUAAUGAACAUAAUAAGUUGAGUUCCAAGCUUUAGAAAUCAGCUGAACCUGUUCCUGCAGAAAACCAAGCAAAAGUUUGAAGUCUUGAUUUUCAAAUAUUCUCAUGUUCCUCGCCUUCCAUAGCCAUCAUACACACACUGCAAAAUAACAUUUCAAGCAGUACCCCAAACCUCCUCAUCAUUCCUCAAAUUAGCAAACAACCAGUCCGUAAUUUGUAAUGAGAAAAAAUCUGUACAAAUGACUUGGUUAUCAAAUAAGGACCACACCUGAAUAGCAUAAGAACAAUCCCUUAACACAUGCAAAAUAUCCUCAGCAACAUUAUGGCAAUAUCCACACGAAUCAUCCAAGGUAAAACCUCUCUUUCUUCUUUCUAUGUUACAAAGGAUCUUACUAUGGGAAAUUUGCCAUAAAAACAUACAUACCCUUUGAUGGACCUUUAUCUUCCACACAUGCUUCAAUAACUUAAAUUCUCAUUAACAACAGAAUUACUCAAAACUCCAUAUGCUGACUUAACCGAAUAUGUCCCAGAAUUAGUAUAAUUCCAAACAUAUUGAUCUCUCAAGCCAACCAUUCUGGAAAGGAGUCGAGAUUUCAAAGAAUCGAGCACAUUAAUGGGUGAAGCACAUCUCACUUUCAUCCUAAAUUAUCAUCCCAAAAUGCCCUAAUAGGCAACGUUUUAGCUAUCUCAUUAAUAGGAACAAUUGCUUGAUUGAAUAGAAGGCCUAAAGGAAGCCAUGAGUCCAUCCAAAAACUUGUCCCCAAGCCACUUCCCACUUCCCAGACUAGCCAUUGUCUCACCACAUCAAGACCCACUUUAAUACCCCUCCAAAUAUGAGAACCUGAAAUAGCUAGUACUCUCAUCCAAGAAAAAUAGCCACCAAAAUAUUCGUUGACAAUAGUUCUCCCCCACAAGAAAUUAGGAGAUCACUGGAACCUCCAUCCCAAUUUCUCCAAGAGUGCAUGAUUCAUCAAAUGAGGCUUUUGGAUUCCCAAUCCACCAUUAGCUUUAGAUUCUUGAAUAGUUUGCCAAUUAACAAGACGAAUGUGAUUGCCCCAUGAAUACCUUUCCAAAUAAAAUCUCUGCAUAUCUUGUCCAUAGCAUUGCAUAAAGAGACCGGAAGAAGACAAGUUUGCAUCGUGUAAACAAGAAUAGCUGCACGAAUAGAUUGAACUAAUGUCACCCUUCCGGCCAUUGAGAGCACAUUGGCCUUCCAUUCAGCCAAUUUCUGUCUCAUCUGAUAAAGAAUGUAAGAAAAAGUGUCCUUAUAUACUCACUGAUGCAAAGCAAGGUACCCAAAUAUCUCCUAAAUCCUGAGUCAAUAAUUCUAGAAAUAUGAGACAGACGUUCCGCUACAUCUGGAGACACCAUAGAAGACACAAAAAGACGAGAUUUCUGAAAAUUAAUCUUCUGUCCUGAAGUUAAUGAGAACCUGUUCAACACAUCCAUAAUGACAAGAAGUUAUUGCUCAGAUGCUUCCGCAAAGAGCACCAUAUCAUCACCAAAGAACGAUAGAAAAGUAGCGAUCCUAGUCUAAAUAAAGGAAGCCGAUGCCAAAAACCACCAGCCACAGAUUUUCUAAUAUCUUGUGUCAAUACUUCAAUACACAACACAAAAAAAUAGGGAGAUAUAGAAUCACCCUGUGGAACCCCUCGUGAAGGCUUAAAGGAUUGGAGUCCAAAUCACAGACAUAAAAGAUGAAUUCAAACAGUUCAUAAUUACCGAGAUCCACACUUUUGAGAAGCCAAUAUUCUGGAGAACCCAUUUAAUAAAAUCUUAGUUCAGGGCGAUCAUAUGCUUGUUCCAGAUUGAUCUUCAAAGCCAUAAAGCAUUUUAGACUUAGAUUGACGUAUGGAACGAAGAGCUUCCUGAAAGAGCACAAUAUUAUCUAUUAUUUGCUUCCAUGAUACAAAGUUGCACUACUCAGAUCCAAUCAAAUUAGGAAGCACAAUCUUUAGCCUAUUGACCAAAGUUUUAGUAAUUACCUUAUAUAAGACAUUACAAAGACUGAUCAGACAAAUUUGGUUAAUACGUUCAGGUGAAGGAAUCUUAGGUGUUAACACAAGUAAUGUCUCAUUGAUCACAGAUGGCAUCGGCUGGCCUUGCAACACACCUAACACAAGUUUAGUAACAGCCUCCCCAAUAAUAUGCCAUUUCUUUUGAUAAAAUGCACUAGGAAACCUUCCAUGUCUGGCGCAUCAUAAGGUCUCAUAGCAAAAAGGGUUGCUAUCAACUUCUCCAUAACAAAAGGUCUAUUAAGGGAAGAGAACAUUUCAGUAGACAAUUUCGAAAAUUCCUGAGCUCAUACCUAACAUAUCAGCUACACCCUCCACCUUAGACAGCUUAUUUAAAAAAUCAUAUACCAUAUCCUUCAAACAAAUCUUAUCAGAAAUCCAGUCACCCAUCUCAUUUCUAAGCCUUUGCACAAGUAAUCUAUUCCUCUUGAUCAAAGCAGAAGAAUGGUUGAAUUUCGUAUUAGGCUCACUUGAAAUAAUCCAAUCUUCCUUAGAUUUUUAGAACCAAAACAGUUCCUCUUGAGCCAAAACCACAACUAACUCCUUGCUUCAUUUCUCCUCCUAUUUCAUCAAACGUGUUUUUAGCACUACAAACAAUCUUCUUUGAACCCCCUCAAUCGAGCCCACAACCUUUUCUUUUUUAAAAAAAUUAUUACUAAACACAUUUCUAUUCCAAGAAGACAAAGCGGCUGCUAACCCAUGAGUAUUGUCCUAAAUCGGAGCCAAAGGAUUCCAAUUUCGCUUAAUAACAUUCUCAAAACCAUCAUAAGUUAACCACGCAAUCUGGUUUUUAAAAUAUGGUGGAUGAGGGGUACUCAAACCAACGGUAUUCACUACAACAGGGACAUGAUCAUAAUUGAGUUUGGCGGCAUGGGUUGCAAAAGCAUUAUCAAACCUGGAUCGCCAGCUAGCCGAACAUAAAGCACGAUCAAGUCUCGCACUCUUCAACGUGUCCAAAGUUCUACCUGUAGACCAGGUGAAUGGAACACCUUCAUACCCCAAAUCAAUGAGGCCGUUACAAAAGAUCCAAUUACAGAAAUCCCCCAUAACAUCUUACAGCGAGGAAUAUCCAGAUUGUUCUUCCACUGAAAUCAUUGAAUUAAAAUCUCCUAAGAUCAUCCAAUUAUCUCCUAAAUCAAAUUUUGCUAGCUGAAACUCUACCCAUGCACAUUCGGGCUUCCAUACACAACCCCCAAAUUCCAUGACUCUCAAUUCUGUAACAGAACAUGACAAACAAUAAACUGGGCAUCAAUAUAGACAACUUUAAUUGACCCCCAAGUUUUAUUCCCUCAACAUGAACCCACGAAUUAAAUCCUAGAGCCGCAGAAAUUUGAUCUACAUGAUGGCCGCUCGUACGGGAUUCCAUUAAACACACGAUAUCAAGAGAAAAUAACCUACGAUAUUCCUUGAAGGCUCUCUUAAAGUUUUGAGAGGCAGCUCCUUGAACAUUCCAACUAAAAAUAAUCAUUAAAAAAUAAAAUAGAAGGAAAAUACCAACAAUCCAUAAAGGAUUAGCUCUUUAUAUCCAUGCUGUUUCAGGCGGAUCAGGCAAUUCUUCAACACCAAUUCCAUGUCGAACUUGACUAUCUAAGCUUGAAAGAAACACUUCAAUGUUUACUUAUCAAACUUCGGACUGCACCUCAUUAAAGUCCUUAUCAUCUCUGGCCGAUGAAUGAGGCAUAAAGGGAUUAUUAAAAUGCUCCAAAAAAGGUCCAUUAAUAAGAUUAGAAAUAUCCAGGCUACAAUCCGUCCCUUUAGAAAUAAUUUUAACAACACACUCCACAUUGUUCUUGUUACCCAUCACAAUCGUAUGCUCCUCCACCGCUGCCGCUUGGUGAGAAGGUCUUGAACUUCUUCUAAUAAAAAUGACAAUAGCAUAAUUUGGCUUAGGGGCUUGCUUAUUAACCGUAGAAGAAGAAGAAAUAAAGUUGUUCUUACCCUUAAUUUGUUUCCUCUUAUCCUCUGUAUCAAACUUCUUGUCUCUCCCUUAGGUAUCUUUAGGAGAAGGCCCAUUUACCACUUGCCCAUUGGGCUUAGAAGCAUUAGCCCUUCCAUUUGUACACCUGGGACCUUUUCAGGAAUUGGUUCAUGCUCCACAUCAACUGAGAGAGGCUCAAACCUAGACCCACUUUGUCCAUUGACAUCUCCAUUUUCCCGCGUAAGAGGUUAACUUGCAUCAUUUGAGCUCUUCCUAUAAUUAAGCCUAAAACUUCUCCUCUUAUCAUUUUUAACCAACAUCAAAUCCCCAAAAUCCUCUAUCACAGCUAGAUUAAUAUCACUACUUUCAAGGAUAACAUUUUUUCCAAACACGGACUUUUCCUUAUUGGCAACAAUAGAAUCCAGACAUUAAUACACCAUAUCUCUGAAUUAGGAACAACCUCACCUUCUACAGUUGAAUGAUCUGCCAAAGUGAGUUUCUAUAAUAAUAGACAAACAAUGGAAGCAUGGCCAAACUUUAUAUUAGAGAAACAAACUAGAUGUAACACUUCAAACUCUAUACGCCUAAUCCACCUCCGCAAUCUAAACUUUAAAAUCAAAGUUUAGUUAAAUUGAGUUCCACACAAACUCGAUAUAUCUACCCUUAGUUAUUAAACUAGUAUUAGUAUCAACUUUAAUCGAGUUUUUCAAUUUACUACCAAUUCUCAAUAACAAAUUUACAUCGUAGUACUUAAUGAGAAGGCAUGAAAAUUUCACCCAAACAGUCAAUAAUAUUAAAACAUCAAAAAAAGUUUGACCUCCACAUUCUCGAGGACAAAUAAUAGUCAACAAUCAUAGGACACUCAUAGAGAGCAUGUUUAUAAUCACCGUCAGAUGAAAACUUAACUACAAAAAAAUCAUCAUCUACAGCAAUCACUUCUAAGACUGCUAUAGGUCUCUAUAAUUUCUUCACCAUUUUCACCAAGUAUGUGUAACCAAUCCAUCUACUCACCGAUUUAACAAUAAUUGUAUAUUUCCAACGAUUUCUCAAUCUACUAAUAUCAUCAGGAGAGAGUUUAAUUGUUGAACACAACUCAGUAUCAUCAGCCUCAUCCUUCUCCCCAUUCUCUUGCUCAACCAGCAAAUCUACCUAGACAUCAGCCUCACUUCCAUGCAAAUUAGCAUUACUAUUCUCAUGCAUCAACGUAUCACAAAUGGAUCUGGGCUCCAGACCAUGACCAAUACCUUCCUCCACAUCAUUGUAUCCAUCAAUCGAAAUAUUAUCGCCAUUUUCUAUGUGUUUUUUCUUAGUACUACGGGCCAAAAUACAAACCAGGAGGCUCCAUCUUCUUCAGCAUGACAACUUUUUUUUACAAAUAGCGUGAUAACUUUUGUAUAAUUAUUAAUUUAAGUUUAAUUUUUAUUUUACAUAAAAUUAUUAAUUUUACAUUUAGUCAUUCAUGAUUUGAAAAAACAUGACUAAUUUUUAGUAUUUAAUUAAUUUGUACAAUUUUUUUUGAAAAGAAACAUUAUACUAUAUAUAUAUAUUAUAAGUACGAUAAAUAAUUUAUUAAUAUUUAAUUUUAUUCUAUUGUGAUAAAAUUUUUGAAAUUAAUAAUUUUUAUUUUAUAUAAAAUGAUUAAUUUUAAAAUUUUGUCAUAUAUAAAACAAUUAAAUGUGGUGUUAUAUUAUUGUAACAAUAAAUUAUUAUGAUAAUAUUUAAUUAAAAUUAGUUAAAAAGAUUAUCAUAAUACAAAAUUAAUAAGAUAUAAUACUUUCUUCAAUUUAUUAUUAUAAAUGUACAGUAAAAUACAAAACUUUUAUCUAUAUAAUAAUACCUAUUAUAUGAUAAAAAAAUUAGGUACAUUUUUUUUUUAAAAAAAUAUUAUAAUAUAAAUAUAAAAUAAAUUGUAGAUAAAAUAAAGAGUGCAUUAAUAAAAUAAAAUUUCAAAUUAAUAACUAAAAAUUUAUUUUACAUGAAAUAUUUAAUUUUAAAUUAAUUUAUUUGUAAUUUCAAAAAUAUGACUAAUUUUUUAUUAUUAAUUAUUUUAUUUACAAUUAUUUUUUAAUAUAAUAAAAGAUUGUUAUUUGUAAACGUGAAAGGAAAAAAUAAGAAUAAGAAUAAAUAUAUUUAUAAAUAAAAUAAUUAUUCCUAACAAUUCAAAAUUAAGGUUAUGAUUGCAAUUGGUCAAAAUUAAUUUAGAUUUAUUAAAAAAAAUAUAAUAAAUUUUAAAAAUUUAAUUUAAUUAUUUAAAAUUAAAAAUUAAAAAUUAAAAAUAUAAACGUGUGAAUUGACUAUAACAUAUAGAUUAUUUAUCAAAAUAUUGUGAUUUAAAGUGAAAAAAAUGAGUAUAUUGAAACAGACGAGCAGGUGUCAGAAAAACGAAUAUGAUAGAAAGAGAAUAGCAAAGAAAACGUGAACGGCAGGAUUCGAACCUGCGCGGGCCGAGCCCACAUGAUUUCUAGUCAUGCCCGAUAACCACUCCGGCACGUCCACGGCGACGCUGUCAUUUUCUGCGGAUGUAUUCUGUUUAUAAAAAGUACUUGAGUUGCAAAUAGUAAAUGUAUUUUGCCUUUUACUUCUCAUUCUCUCGGCGGUUCAUAAAUUUUUGUAAUCUUUUUCUGAAGAAAAUAUCAGGAGUGUGUUUGAAAGAAUCUUUGGCAGAUUUAUUCCCUUUUCUUAGCCUUAAUUUGCUGUCUCAUUUACAUAUAUUUUAUUCUAAAGUUCUUGGUCUUGCAAGCAUCCUGCUUUGUAUAAUUUAAGUGCUUCUUUUCAAUUCAUUAAAAAAUAGUUAUUUCUUAAAUUUAUUUUAAUAUAUUUAUUAUCAAAUUAAAUAUAUAUAAAAUAAUAAUUAUUAUUUUAUAUUUUUAUAAAAAUGUCAAAAUUAAUAGGGAGUCGAUAAUAGUAUCAUUAAAUUAUAAUAAUUUUUUAUUUUUUAAAUAAGGGAUUGAAAAUUAAAAGAAGUAAAAUUUGAAAUCUCUCAUAUUUACUCAAAUACAUUCAGAUAUAUUUAUUAUCGGACUAAAUUUAUAAAUACUUAUAAUAAUUAAUUUAUAUAUUAUUAUAAUAAAAAAAAUAAAUAAUUAUUAUGAGAUAAUAAAAAAUAAUAAAAUAAAAAGGUAUUUUAUUUAAUUUAAUUAUUUAUUUAAAUUAAACUCCUAAAUUAAAUUUCGGUAUCUGCCAAAGGCUGUCAAUCUUUUUUUUAUUAUUAUUAUUCACUAUCAGCGAUAAGUGUAAUCUAAUUAUUGCGGAAUGUCAGAAAAACAAUACUCCUUUUUUUUUUCCUUUUCUUCUUCAUUUAGCUGGUUCUGUUAUGAGCACUUUAUGGUUGGUAGUAAUUUCUGCUGGAAAAUCUCUUGGCGUCCAACUGGUGCUUCCCCUGGCAAUUUCGGAUCCGUUCUCCAAGAGGAGCAAGUGUUCCAACUCUAUCACUUUAUCAUUACUAUUAUGACGGACUCCAUCUUUAACAAUCCUGGCCAGAGACUGCAGUACGCUAUCUGUGGUACACUCUUUCCUGUACUCCAAAGUUAUGGCAGAAAGCUUGUGAUGUUCUACAAGAGAGCGGGGAACAACCUGAAAGAAAGGAAUAGAAACUUGUCAUUUAAUUGUGAUAAAAUUUUACAACCAAACGUAGAAUUUUUAGCAUGUUUGUUAUGUCGAAAGAAAUGGGAAGUGUCUCGAACUCAAGGAUGUGCAUAUUGCGAAGGGAAGGAAACGCAAAGCGUAGAAGUAUAUACCCUGAACAUAUAGCAGCAUUAAUUUUCUCAAAGUUCGAGUCUUUUGAUGAACCAAAAAAAAGAAAUGAAAAGAAAAUUACCCACCUCAAGAAUCCAGUUAAUGUACUGAACAUGGUUCACAUGCUGAUUGAGAUCAAGCUGAUCCCAUUCAGGCUGUAGUAGAAGCAAAUACAGUCAAUCACUUAAACAAGGCAAAGCAUUGGAAGAAAAAGAAAAGGCCAGAGCAUUAAUUUAUUGAAGCAUGGAGAAACAUCAUACAGAUAACUUACUUUUACACCUUCUCGAGCAAAAUCCGCUGUAUCAACAUCGAGUCGUAGCAAUUUUCUGCUAUCCUUAACAAUGAUAGGAUCACAAUUCCUCAUGUGAGGAGCUAACUCGUCUCUGAUUUCUUCUUUAAGCUUGGAUAACUUCCUUGUCUUCUUAUUCAUUAAUACCCAUAAACUGCAGGUUUAAAUUUUUUAAAGAAAGGUGAGAAAAUAGCAAGUUAACCAAUAAAUGACGAUUAAAGAAAAUAAUCUUAAUUUCUAUGGAUAAUCAAGAAAAGAAAUUCAACCUGGUUGCUUGAGCCAAUGUACUCCCUGUCUUACCGUCACGAACAACCCAGUCUCGACCUACGCUAUUUUGUCCUGAUGGAUAAAACCAUGUGUCCACCUCUACACAAUCAUGCCUUGCAGUGGAUAAACAGUAUCAGAUGGGUGAUUACAAUGGAGGGUUUUAGAAAGAUUGAAGAAUAAAAAUUAAUUAAACUGCAAAAUCAGAAAGUUACCAGGAAGGAUAGCUAUCCACCACUAUCUGCAAAGUGGAGGUUACCCAUAUCAAAUCCUGUCUAUUCAUUUCUGGUGUUGAACCAAAACCAUCAGCCGAUAUACCUAUAACUCUACACUGUUCAAGUGCUGUGUCCUAAACACCAAAACAAAUAUCAAAGACUAAUCAUAGAAUUUAUGCAGAGGAAAAUGAAGUUCAAGUUUAACCUGUAAAUAAUUGGUCAAGGCAGCCAAGGAUAGUUUUCCGUCAAAGCAAAUUUCAAAUGAUCUAACCAAAAAGUUUUGCCUGUAAACGAGGCCAUCUUGCACCAAUCUUCCACUUCCACCGCUAAUAUUUGAUUUCCAAGAAUCCAAUUUCUGCCUUUCCUCACCAGUGGCUACAUUCACACAACCAAAAUGCUUCUUCCGAACACCAUAUUCUUGGGAUAUAAUCUUCCUUCUUGAUGAUGCUGAAGCCAUACGCAUCUCAUCCUUGACAGCUUUCUUCAUUUGGUUGAUUUCUUUAUUUUGAAAGGAUCCGACUUGGAAGUGCUUGUUAACUAGCAAGAAUCCCCUAGCAGUAGUAGCCAUUUUCCUUCUUCUGCUGAGCUUCAACUAAUUUGAGGUGAUAUAUAUAUAGAGAGAGAGGGGCAAUUGUUACCAUGUCUAACUGGCCUAAUAUUUUCCUUUAUCCAAUCGGAUUAAACUUUAAUCAGUCCAUUUUGAACAGUCUACAAUUAAGAUUUAAAUUUGAAAAUUAGUACCCAUGGUAUUUGAAUCGAAUUCAAAUUUUAUAUAUUAAAUAGAUAUUAUUUCAAUAUGUUUAUAUAAAUAAAUAAUUUAAAUAAUAUAUAUUCUAUAAUAGUAUUUAUAAACUUUUUUAUAUGAUUUUAUUUAGGAAAAACUACUUUUUAGUUUCUGAGGUUUAACGUAAUGAACACUUUUGUCCCUCUAUUUUGGCGACCCAACACUUAAAUCCCUCACUUUCUCUUCCGUCCAAAUUCGUAGUCCUUCCGUCCAUUUAAACCGUUUGGUCAAAGAGUCAAAGGUGAGAUGUGAUAAUUUUUUCUAAAAAUACCCUUCUCUCAAUGUGAAAUUCCAGAAGAAGAAGAAGAAGAAGAAGAAGAAGAAGAAGAAGAAGAAGAAAGAAGAAAGAAGAAGAAGAAGAAGAAGAAAGAAGAAGAAAAAAGAAGAAGAAAGAAGAAGAAGAAAGAAGAAAGAAGAAGAAGAAGAAGAAGAAGUUGCAAAAAGGGUAGGAAAAAGAAGAAGAAGAAGAAGAAGAAGAAGUUGCAGAAAGGGUAGGAAGAAGAAGAAGAAGAAGUUGCAGAAAGGGUAGGAAGAAGAAGAAGAAGAAGAAGAAAGAAGAAGAAGAAGAAGAAGAAGAAGAAGAAGUUGCAGAAAGGGUAGGAAGAAGAAGAAGAAGAAGAAGAAGAAGAAGAAGAAGAAGAAGAAGAAGAAGAAGAAGAAGAAGAAGAAGAAGAAGAAGAAGAAGAAGAAGAAGAAGAAGAAAAAGAUGGUUAAUUUUAUCAAUUCACGUGUCCCAAAUGGCUAUUUUGGACGGAUGGACUACGAAUUUGGACGGAAGAGAAAGUGAGGGACUUAAGUGUUGGGUCACCAAAAUAGAGGGACAGAAGUGUUAAUUACGUUAAAUCUCAGGGACUACAAAGUAAUUUUCUCUUUUAUUUAAAAAUUAGAAUUUAAAUUUUUUAGAGAUAUUAAUUUUUUUAAAUGAAAAUUAUUAAUAUUUUUUUAUAAUUUAUUAAUUAAAACAUUUAAAAUAAUUUUUAAUUGAAUUUAAAAUGAAUUAAUAUAUUAAUAAUAGUAAUUGAAUUUAAAUUUAGGUGGUUUGAUUUCCACAGUUUACAUGUUGCCCAUCUAUGAGAGAAAACAGUCCUGGAUUGUCCAUCUAUGAGAAAUGUAGUUGUCGUCAUCUGCAACAUGGAAACUGUUUAACGUCCCAUCAAAAGUCGAUAUAUGUAACUACCAAAAAAUCCGUCAUAUUCAUGUGAAUGGUAAAAAAAUCAUGUGGUUUGUAUUUGAAAAUAUUUUGUUACAUAUUUAAAUUUCAGUCAAUUUAAAUGUCGUUUUUAGAAUAGCAAGGAAAACGUGAACGGCAGGAUUCGAACCUGCGCGGGCAGAGCCCACAUGAUUUCUAGUCAUGCCCGAUAACCACUCCGGCACGUCCACGGCGAUGCGUUCACUUUUUUCAGGUCUUACUUGUGACGUCACUUCUCCGGUGACACAUCCAUAGCUGUCUCGAACUCGGAGUUGAGGAGGGAGAGAAGAAGAAUCUAACAGGAAGUCAGAUAUGGUGGUUUAGUUUAGUUUUCAAUUUGCACUUCUGGAUGGCUUGGCAAUGAGAGGUAGAAUUUUUGCCACAACUUGACAAUGUGCAAAAUUUUUCAAUUUGAUUGUUUAUUUACUGGUUAGAAUAUUGGAAUUUAGCAUCGAACUCGAACUUAUUUGUGUUCUUCUGCAUUUCUGAUUGCCUUGUAGCUCCAUGUUUGAAGAGCAUUUCUAAUGAUUAAUGCUUGAAAUGAAUGAUGAGAUAUUGUAGUAACUUAAUGUAAUUGAUAUCAGAAUUUGAUUUAGUUUGCCUGACUUUUGAUUCUAAUUUUUAUGACUUCUAACUUUUGGUUCAAGUUAACAGUCUAUUCAGGUUGCGAUUUGCGCUAUUUGAACUCGGUAUAUUUCUGUCACUAUUCUCGGCCUUCUUAACUAUCUAAGCUUCUGGGUAUUGAAGUAGACAAAUACAAAUUUGCUCCAAAAUCAUACAAGGCAGAGUGCGUUUUGCGAUUCUUUACAAUAUAGAUUAGGUAUUAAGUAGUAGAUUCUUUUAAAAGUAUAAUUACUUUUAAUGCAUUUUUCAAAAUAGAAAAAAAAUUAGUUAUCAGUUUUGCCAUACUAUAAUGACUAAGUAGUAAUUUUUUCUAUAAAUUAGUGGUCAAGCCUGUCUUUUGCUUUCUUUGUAUUUACCUAACAACUAUGUUCCAAAAUCCACAUUUUAUAUUUUGACUGAAGGCACCCUACAGGCAUUCAAAAUUUUUUUUGCUGUUACAAUUGGUUAUGAAUAUAUACUUUUGUCUGGUGAUUAUCUAAUAUUAAUUAGUUUAUUGCCGUAGGAAUGGAUAUUAGAUUGUUACAACCAAAAGAAGCUUGUUGAUAUCGAUAGUUAACCAUGGCGGACAGGCUACAUUACAUUUGAAACUAGUAGUGUUAAUGUCUUUAUAUGUAUCUCUCCUUUUUUUUUUUUCUUUUUUUAAUCCAGAUACUUAAAGCUCUUACAAAUCCCAUGAGAUAGAAUAUUUGUAAGAUACUUUACUUAUUCCUUGGAUUUACCCUGUCUGUCACCUUUUUGUUUAGCAAUUAAUAAUGUUUAAGACCAAACAUAUUCAAACCCCACAACCUUCACCCCCUCAUUUCCUUGGCAAAGGCCACUUAUCAUUUUUGCUUUUUCAUGCAUGACAUUGCUGUGAAUGUUGUAAAGACACGUGAAUUUCUAACUCUGACCUUUUUGUAUUGGAUUAUAUGAUUGCUAAUUGGUAUUAUCUAAAAUCUUAAAACACUAUGCUUUGGAUUAUGUGCAAAUGAACCUACCAUACUAUUAUGUUUUGUACAUGUUGCCAGCCAUGUAAAAGUAUGAAUAACAGGUGUGCUAAUUGCUAUCUGUCCUUUGGCAUGUGGAUCUUUUUCUUUCUGUUUGUUUUUUGGAACCUCCAGAGGAUUCUAAUGAAAAAUUUACAAGAGUAUAUCUUAAUACCCCGAUCCAAAAUAUUAAUUGGAUUGGCAAUUGGCAUGGUCUACAAUUUUCUUUAUCUUAUUGAUGUCAAUAAUAGAUGCCCUGUGUAUUCCUGAGGACAUGAGUGCUUACUGUUUAGUGAUUAAUAUGUGAAUAUAUAGUAUUUUCCUUUCAAGAUCUAAGAAUUAUAUCAUUACUUAGCCAUAUCUGAUGAUCUGCUUCUUGACUAGUAAUCAAUAUUCAAAGUGCUUUAAUUUGAUAAUUUAAGUAUAUGCACUCUAUUUUCCCACUUUUGGUCUUGAAAACAAGUUGAUCUUCUAAAUACAAAGAAUGCUUGCUGAUCAAAAGCCAUCGUCACCUAGAAAAUAUGAGAAACAAGUUGAAAGAGGAUCACAUUCUAAACCAACUGCUCUAUGUCCUCAAAGGUUAUUGUGAUAGUGUGAACAUAAUUUGUAUAUAAUUAAAGAAGAUUACAUAACCAUAGGCUAAUUGAUACUAAUUUAUUGAUAGAGUAUUUUUAGGAGUUGGCUUAACAAGGCGUGUAUAUAAACACACUUAGUUUAGAGAAAAUACAUAGAAAUUAUCCCAUUAUUUCUUGUUUUGUUGCAUGGUAUCAAAGCUUUUUUAUGGUUGAUCUAUUAUUUCUUUUGGGGUUGGAUAUUGUUCUCCUUUGAAUCACUAGUCCAGGUGAUUGUUUGAUCUCACCACCGUCCUAAGAAACAGCGCAACAGAGUUUUCGGCCUCUCCUUGAAGACCGGUGGUCAGACUGCCGGUGAGUGGUCUCCAUGCACCAAUUUUUCUUUUUCGCCUAUUCUUCACUCGCCGGCACGUGAACGCGUGUCGCACCUUCGACAAGUCUUCGGUUCCACUUCUGAGAUCGCGUCAUCAUUUUUGGCCAAUCUCUAGGGUCGUUGUUGUCAUCAGACCUUACUGUUGUCGGGUUUCUCUUCUGUUGGAGCUGUCCAAAUUCUAUUUCUUUCCUUUAAGGCUAUGUGAGGGUUGUUUUGGUACUUUUAUUAUUAGGUGAAGUGUUUUUAUGGUCUAAUAUUGGUUUUAAAUAGCUUCUAACAGUAAGACCCAUAUUACUGAAAUUAUUCUAACGUCUCUGGUAGCGGCUGAGACAGGUAAACUUAUCUUACUUGUCUUAUUUCCUCUUCACAUAAAUGGGUCAUUGAUUCUGGUGCCACGGAUCACAUGACAAGUAAUUUUCAUAUUUUUGCCAGCUUUCAAUCUCAUAAAUUAUGUUCUCCUGUUACAAUAGCGGAUAGGUCAAACUAUAAUGUUGAGGGUUUUGAGACUAUUAAAUCUACUCCUUUUAUUAUCCUAUCAUUUGUGCUAAAUUUAUCUAAUCUUACCUUUAAUUUAAUCUUUGCGAGUAAACUUAUCAAAAAUCUAAAUUGUUGGAAGAAAUCUAGUGUUUAGGAAAAGUAAGAAGCAAAAUGUGGUAUACAGAUCCAGUACUGAGUCAAAAUGCUCAAUCUAUUUCACGGAUAAAUUAUCUGCUGAAAGAAGUUGGUAUCAUUGUUUCCAAUCUAGUAUACCACAAACGGAUUAAGCAUAUUAAAGUUGAUCGUCAUUUCAUUUGUGAGAAGAUUCAAGGAAAUUUAAUUUCUACCGAUUAUGUGAAGACAGGAGAGUAAUUGAGUAACUAGGUGAUCUACUCACCAAAAUUUUAAAUGGAUUUCAAAUAGAAUAUUUUUCUAAUAAGUUAGGUAUGAUAAACAUCUAUUACUCAAUUUGAGAGGGAGUGUUAGAGCAUGUAUAUAAUUAAAGAGAUUACAUAAUCAUAGGUUAAUUGUUACUAAUUGAUUGAUAGAGGAUUCUUAAGAGUUGUUUUAACAAUAUCUUAUAAUUUGUAUAUAAACACACUUAUUUCAAUAGAAAAAAUACACAAAAAUUACCCAAUUAUUUCUUGUUUUAUUUUCAAUAAGUUAGUGUAUGAAUGGGUACUCAUAUUUUCUCCCGACACUGUAGUGGAAAACUACUCUAAUGUCAUCCCAGUCUGCCAGCACAGCAGACUAAAUUUCUGUAUACCUAACAAAUUUACUUUCAUUCUCUUUCCAAAAUUCCUACAUCUGCCUUCAACGAUUUGUUUCUUGUGCCAUAUGUUAGCAGUGUAGAGAGAGUAAUCCUGCUAAAGAGCACUUCUUCUUCGAAAGUAAAGGAAUGGGCUAUUAAUCAUCUGAAGAGAACUAUCUCAUGGCUGGAGAGUCAGGAGGUUAUGGUUAGCGGCACCUAAUGAUUUAUUUAUGGUGUCUGAUACACUGAUUGUCUGAUUCCUCUCCAUUCUCUGAUGAUGUUGAUUUCUAUUCUUUCAAUUUUGUGGCUCUGCUGGUAACUCUUAUGCACGUGGGAAAAUGUCCUUCUGUGAACAUCUUGUUAAUCCCAUGUACUUUUUGUCCUUCCUAUAAAUGGCUAAUAUAUUGCGGAAUGUCAGAAAAACAAUACUUGAUUUUUAAGUUCUGUUCACUUGCAUGUUGUUGCUCAUGAAAAUGGGGAGUUUUCAUCUUUUAUCCAAACCACUUUAUUUAUGCUGCUUGCCAAAAUUUUCAUGGUUGUGAUGAUAGUGAAUAUUUCUUUCUUAUUCAUUUGGGAUGGUAUGUUAGUAGCAUGAAGAUUUCUUAAUGAUUUACUUCACAAGGAUUCCAAGCACAUGAGAUCAAAUUCAUUUCUUUUGCUGCACUUAUCAGCCCCCCUUUUGCUUGUUGAGAAGGUGAAGAAGGGAGAAGAAAUUGGCGUUUCACAUUAUCUGGUGUGCAGUUUCUUAACGCACAAAACACAUAUACUCUUUUAUCUUUUUAACAAAAUAAAAGUGCAAAAAUACCUAGUAGAAUGAAAAUGCACCUCACACGAUCUUCUUCACUGUUUAUUCCUUCUUGUCCUCGUCCUUUUACUUAUUUAUUUAUUUAUUUUAUAUCAUGACAAGUAGAGUUAUUUUAAUGAUUUUAACGGUGGAGCUGUAUAGUGUAG
Molecule: long non-coding RNA, 31415 nt
Filed under: Manihot esculenta (cassava)
Lineage: Eukaryota; Viridiplantae; Streptophyta; Magnoliopsida; Malpighiales; Euphorbiaceae
Description: long non-coding RNA (MESC_LNC006424)
Source: RNAcentral